AUCAACCUCACCCAGGAGAUGCGGGCUUCCGUCAGUUCGUCGACGCUGAUCACGCUAGACUGGCUUUGCGCAUGGCGGAGCUGGCGAUGGAUCAGCAACCAGCGACGGCACCAUGCAGUGAUCCGCAGCAGUCGUUUCAGCGAAGAGUAGCGAAGCAGCAAUUCCGAUUCGGGCUUCAGCUCGGCAACGGCGGCGACGUGAGCACGGACUCGUCUCUCUGGGAGGUCCUCUGCUGACAUCUCCUCGCUGUUGGUCGUCCAAGGACUGCUCUCCGCUGCUAGCCAUACGGGACCUUGCCACCAGAGCGGGUGGUCAACCAGCUCGCUAGAAUAGAGCCCCCGGGAAACACAGUCCGCUGGGUUUUUCCGACCUGGUACGUGAUGCCAGUGGGUCCAGGAUCAGUGUUUGUAUUUUGCUGACCCGGUUGGCCACAUAGAUGGCCCACGUCGAGGGAUGCCCACGGAUCCAGCCGAGCGUGACGGUGAAAUUAGACCACAUAUGAAGAGGUGUCUUGUCUGCUCCAAUGAUCGGUACGGUGUGGGCGGCUAGACAAGCCAGAAGAGUGGCGGCAGACAGCUCCAGCCGAGGUAUAGCACAGCUGAGUAGGCACGCUCUGAGGCAUCGGCGAACGUGGAUCUUUCGCUGUGAGUCAGCCAAGCUUCCUAGCCAUCGAGGUACGAGCAAGUUUUCCAGAGCAGGCAGCUCGCUCUGGAAUUGUAGCCAUCUCCUCUCUUCGUCGAUUGGCAGCGGAGCGUCCCAAUCGAGGCCUAGCAACCAGGUGGACUGGAUGAAGAUCUUAGCUAGUACUGUUGUUGGGGACAGCCAGCCGAGAGGGUCUAACAUCUUUGCUGUCAGUGAAAGUACCGACCUUUUGGUGAUGGUCGAUAGAUUGAUCCGUUUGGUGGCGAAGGCGAAGCGAUCGUUCCGGGGUAGCCAGCGUAACCCAAGAGUGGAGUGACUCUCGCCGGGCAGCCACCAUCUGGCCUUUCGUUGAAGGCGGUCGUCGGGCCCCACUUGGUUCAGCAGUAGCGUGUGGUUUGCCGACCACUUCUUAAGCGAGAAGCCGCCCGCCUUGCAGAUAUCAAUCAGCUGUUGUAGCAUGACUUCGGCUUCCUUCAUGGUCUCCGCACCGGUCAGGAUGUCGUCCAUGUAGACGUCGCUCAGCAGAAUAAUGACUCCUUUCGGGUAACGAUGUUCUUCGUCCUCGGCCAGUUGACGUAAAGUACGGAUUGCCAGAUAAGGAGCACAGGAUAGACCGCUUUGGUCGUCAGGGUGCACCAGGAUCUGCCUAUACAUCUUCUCGAUGUCGGUCGCCAAGACGUAGCGAUGACGUCGCCAACGCAGCAGGAUGUCGGCCAGUGAAGGAAGCAAAUUCGGUCCCGUUGCAAGAUAUUUGUUGAGGGAGUCUCCGUUUGGCAAGGAGCUCAAGCCGUUGAAGACGACCCUCAGUUUUGUGGAUGUGCUGUCCGGACGCAAGACCCCGUGGUGCGGCAGGUAGCAAGCACCCGGAUGCGAUUCUGUCGACGAAGGAGCAUCAUGUGGCGCAGGUCCAAGUAUUGUCGCAUGAAUUCCGCGUACACGGUUCGAAAUUCGCUGUCUCUCUCAAAUUUCUUCUCCGUGUGUUGCAGAGCACGGCGGGCGGAGCGAACUGUUCCUGCUAGGUCCGGCAGAGGCUCAAUCGUGGGCAGACGCACAAUGUACCAGCCGUCGGCAGUGCGUGAAUGGUGCAGGCAAUAGUGCUCUUCGCACUUUAGUUCGGCCUUAGAGAAGAGCUGAGACGGCCGACGAACUUCUUCUUGCUCCCAGAAGCGACGCACCAAACAGGUGAGGUCUUCCUCCACCUGGCAAUGGUUGGAGGAAAUACGUUGGCCGCGUGCAUUCUCAUUGAUGGCCCUGGCGGAUGAUUACUCCGUAGACGUCGGCACCCAGCAGAAGAUCUAUUGGAUCCGCGGAACUGAACUCUGGAUCGGCGAGCUCCAGGUCCUCUAGAUGUGUCCAGGAUUGCAGACUUCGGCGGCAUCCUUCGGAGAAAAGCGUGAGUUUCGGCAAGAUCAAGGCGGCGACGGAGUUGGACGACUUACCGUUGUGCGCUCGAAAGGUAAGCUUUACCUUGCCUUUGGCAAUUCCCGUCCGUUUCUCGCCGAGUCCAUAGACGCUGACGGCGGCGGGCAUACGAGGCAGUCGCAGUCGCUGAACCAACCGCUCCGUUAUGAUGGAUGACUCUGAGCCCUGGUCGAUCAGCGCUCGGGCGGAAUGCCAGAAUCCGUGGCAAUCGAGGACGCGGACUCGAGCAGUGGCGAGCAGCACCGUGACAGAGGCGGGGUGCGAUCUUUGAGCCACAUGUGAUGUCGUGGCGGUCUCGGCGUCGCGGAAGGCAUCAUGCAGCGAAGAGUGAUGCCGACUGCCACACACUGAAAAUUAGUUCUUGAGAAAUAAAAUUAAAGACGAAAUACGAAAGAGAAAAAAGUCUGUUACUGCUUGAUUUAUGGACAGGACAUUAUUCGAAACAAUUAAAAGAAUUUAUUCCGGCAAACAAAGAAGUAAAUAUUUUAACAAUACCAAAAAAAAAUAGUUUUGUACAACUUUUAAAUGUUUUCGGUUUUAGA
Non-coding RNA from Nylanderia fulva, 2606 nucleotides. The record is from RefSeq and is a predicted model, not a curated record. NCBI's taxonomy places the organism in Eukaryota, Metazoa, Arthropoda, Insecta, Hymenoptera, Formicidae.